UGCCCUAUAGCUCAAUGGCAGAGCGAGCGGCUGUUAACCGCUAGGUUGCAGGUUCAAGUCCUGCUGGGGCAGCCA
This 75-nucleotide transfer RNA is filed under the name Pantanalinema sp. GBBB05. RNAcentral describes it as "tRNA-Asn". It matches the Rfam family "tRNA". Rfam says of the family: Transfer RNA (tRNA) molecules are approximately 80 nucleotides in length. Their secondary structure includes four short double-helical elements and three loops (D, anti-codon, and T loops). The record is from RNAcentral. Lineage: Bacteria; Bacillati; Cyanobacteriota; Cyanophyceae; Leptolyngbyales; Leptolyngbyaceae. RNAcentral also lists the same sequence under 1 other name.